This 2927-nucleotide ribosomal RNA is filed under the name Escherichia coli. RNAcentral describes it as "23S ribosomal RNA". It matches the Rfam family "Bacterial large subunit ribosomal RNA". Lineage: Bacteria; Pseudomonadati; Pseudomonadota; Gammaproteobacteria; Enterobacterales; Enterobacteriaceae. The record is from RNAcentral.
GGGUUGUGAGGUUAAGCGACUAAGCGUACACGGUGGAUGCCCUGGCAGUCAGAGGCGAUGAAGGACGUGCUAAUCUGCGAUAAGCGUCGGUAAGGUGAUAUGAACCGUUAUAACCGGCGAUUUCCGAAUGGGGAAACCCAGUGUGAUUCGUCACACUAUCAUUAACUGAAUCCAUAGGUUAAUGAGGCGAACCGGGGGAACUGAAACAUCUAAGUACCCCGAGGAAAAGAAAUCAACCGAGAUUCCCCCAGUAGCGGCGAGCGAACGGGGAGCAGCCCAGAGCCUGAAUCAGUGUGUGUGUUAGUGGAAGCGUCUGGAAAGGCGCGCGAUACAGGGUGACAGCCCCGUACACAAAAAUGCACAUGCUGUGAGCUCGAUGAGUAGGGCGGGACACGUGGUAUCCUGUCUGAAUAUGGGGGGACCAUCCUCCAAGGCUAAAUACUCCUGACUGACCGAUAGUGAACCAGUACCGUGAGGGAAAGGCGAAAAGAACCCCGGCGAGGGGAGUGAAAAAGAACCUGAAACCGUGUACGUACAAGCAGUGGGAGCACAGAGCAAUCUGUGUGACUGCGUACCUUUUGUAUAAUGGGUCAGCGACUUAUAUUCUGUAGCAAGGUUAACCGAAUAGGGGAGCCGAAGGGAAACCGAGUCUUAACUGGGCGUUAAGUUGCAGGGUAUAGACCCGAAACCCGGUGAUCUAGCCAUGGGCAGGUUGAAGGUUGGGUAACACUAACUGGAGGACCGAACCGACUAAUGUUGAAAAAUUAGCGGAUGACUUGUGGCUGGGGGUGAAAGGCCAAUCAAACCGGGAGAUAGCUGGUUCUCCCCGAAAGCUAUUUAGGUAGCGCCUCGUGAAUUCAUCUCCGGGGGUAGAGCACUGUUUCGGCAAGGGGGUCAUCCCGACUUACCAACCCGAUGCAAACUGCGAAUACCGGAGAAUGUUAUCACGGGAGACACACGGCGGGUGCUAACGUCCGUCGUGAAGAGGGAAACAACCCAGACCGCCAGCUAAGGUCCCAAAGUCAUGGUUAAGUGGGAAACGAUGUGGGAAGGCCCAGACAGCCAGGAUGUUGGCUUAGAAGCAGCCAUCAUUUAAAGAAAGCGUAAUAGCUCACUGGUCGAGUCGGCCUGCGCGGAAGAUGUAACGGGGCUAAACCAUGCACCGAAGCUGCGGCAGCGACGCUUAUGCGUUGUUGGGUAGGGGAGCGUUCUGUAAGCCUGUGAAGGUGUGCUGUGAGGUAUGCUGGAGGUAUCAGAAGUGCGAAUGCUGACAUAAGUAACGAUAAAGCGGGUGAAAAGCCCGCUCGCCGGAAGACCAAGGGUUCCUGUCCAACGUUAAUCGGGGCAGGGUGAGUCGACCCCUAAGGCGAGGCCGAAAGGCGUAGUCGAUGGGAAACAGGUUAAUAUUCCUGUACUUGGUGUUACUGCGAAGGGGGGACGGAGAAGGCUAUGUUGGCCGGGCGACGGUUGUCCCGGUUUAAGCGUGUAGGCUGGUUUUCCAGGCAAAUCCGGAAAAUCAAGGCUGAGGCGUGAUGACGAGGCACUACGGUGCUGAAGCAACAAAUGCCCUGCUUCCAGGAAAAGCCUCUAAGCAUCAGGUAACAUCAAAUCGUACCCCAAACCGACACAGGUGGUCAGGUAGAGAAUACCAAGGCGCUUGAGAGAACUCGGGUGAAGGAACUAGGCAAAAUGGUGCCGUAACUUCGGGAGAAGGCACGCUGAUAUGUAGGUGAAGCGACUUGCUCGUGGAGCUGAAAUCAGUCGAAGAUACCAGCUGGCUGCAACUGUUUAUUAAAAACACAGCACUGUGCAAACACGAAAGUGGACGUAUACGGUGUGACGCCUGCCCGGUGCCGGAAGGUUAAUUGAUGGGGUCAGCGCAAGCGAAGCUCUUGAUCGAAGCCCCGGUAAACGGCGGCCGUAACUAUAACGGUCCUAAGGUAGCGAAAUUCCUUGUCGGGUAAGUUCCGACCUGCACGAAUGGCGUAAUGAUGGCCAGGCUGUCUCCACCCGAGACUCAGUGAAAUUGAACUCGCUGUGAAGAUGCAGUGUACCCGCGGCAAGACGGAAAGACCCCGUGAACCUUUACUAUAGCUUGACACUGAACAUUGAGCCUUGAUGUGUAGGAUAGGUGGGAGGCUUUGAAGUGUGGACGCCAGUCUGCAUGGAGCCGACCUUGAAAUACCACCCUUUAAUGUUUGAUGUUCUAACGUUGACCCGUAAUCCGGGUUGCGGACAGUGUCUGGUGGGUAGUUUGACUGGGGCGGUCUCCUCCUAAAGAGUAACGGAGGAGCACGAAGGUUGGCUAAUCCUGGUCGGACAUCAGGAGGUUAGUGCAAUGGCAUAAGCCAGCUUGACUGCGAGCGUGACGGCGCGAGCAGGUGCGAAAGCAGGUCAUAGUGAUCCGGUGGUUCUGAAUGGAAGGGCCAUCGCUCAACGGAUAAAAGGUACUCCGGGGAUAACAGGCUGAUACCGCCCAAGAGUUCAUAUCGACGGCGGUGUUUGGCACCUCGAUGUCGGCUCAUCACAUCCUGGGGCUGAAGUAGGUCCCAAGGGUAUGGCUGUUCGCCAUUUAAAGUGGUACGCGAGCUGGGUUUAGAACGUCGUGAGACAGUUCGGUCCCUAUCUGCCGUGGGCGCUGGAGAACUGAGGGGGGCUGCUCCUAGUACGAGAGGACCGGAGUGGACGCAUCACUGGUGUUCGGGUUGUCAUGCCAAUGGCACUGCCCGGUAGCUAAAUGCGGAAGAGAUAAGUGCUGAAAGCAUCUAAGCACGAAACUUGCCCCGAGAUGAGUUCUCCCUGACCCUUUAAGGGUCCUGAAGGAACGUUGAAGACGACGACGUUGAUAGGCCGGGUGUGUAAGCGCAGCGAUGCGUUGAGCUAACCGGUACUAAUGAACCGUGAGGCUUAACCUUACAACGCCGAAG